This 482-nucleotide ribosomal RNA is filed under the name uncultured bacterium. RNAcentral describes it as "bacterial SSU rRNA". It matches the Rfam family "Bacterial small subunit ribosomal RNA", at positions 29 to 506 of the family's 1533-position model. The record is from RNAcentral.
UUGAACGCUGGCGGAAUGCUUUACACAUGCAAGUCGAGCGGCAGCGCGGGGGCAACCCUGGCGGCGAGCGGCGAACGGGUGAGUAAUGUAUCGGAACGUACCCAGUCGUGGGGGAUAACUAUCCGAAAGGAUAGCUAAUACCGCAUACGUCCUGAGGGAGAAAGCGGGGGAUCGCAAGACCUCGCGCGAUUGGAGCGGCCGAUAUCGGAUUAGCUAGUUGGUGAGGUAAAGGCUCACCAAGGCGACGAUCCGUAGCUGGUCUGAGAGGACGACCAGCCACACUGGAACUGAGACACGGUCCAGACUCCUACGGGAGGCAGCAGUGGGGAAUUUUGGACAAUGGGGGCAACCCUGAUCCAGCCAUUCCGCGUGAGUGAAGAAGGCCUUCGGGUUGUAAAGCUCUUUCAGACGGAAAGAAAUCGGGCGCGUGAAUAGCGUGCCUGGAUGACGGUACUGUCAGAAGAAGCACCGGCUAACUACGU